GUAGGUGGCAAGCGUUGUCCGGAAUUAUUGGGCGUAAAGCGCGCGCAGGCGGUUCUUUAAGUCUGAUGUGAAAGCCCACGGCUCAACCGUGGAGGGUCAUUGGAAACUGGAGAACUUGAGUACAGAAGAGGAAAGCGGAAUUCCACGUGUAGCGGUGAAAUGCGUAGAGAUGUGGAGGAACACCAGUGGCGAAGGCGGCUUUUCUGGUCUGUAACUGACGCUGAGGCGCGAAAGCGUGGGGAGCAAACAGGGAUUAGAUACCCUGGUAGUCCACGCCGUAAACGAUGAGUGCUAAGUGUUAGGGGGGUUUCCGCCCCCCUUAGUGCUGCGGCUAACGCAUUAAGCACUCCGCCUGGGGAUACGGCCGCAAGGCUG
This 375-nucleotide ribosomal RNA is filed under the name uncultured organism. Its description in RNAcentral is "partial 16S ribosomal RNA". It matches the Rfam family "Bacterial small subunit ribosomal RNA", at positions 527 to 896 of the family's 1533-position model. The record is from RNAcentral.